Molecule: non-coding RNA, 798 nt
Organism: Onychostoma macrolepis
Lineage: Eukaryota; Metazoa; Chordata; Actinopteri; Cypriniformes; Cyprinidae
Source: the annotation of a RefSeq genome assembly
GCAGCUGUGGACAAAAUUGAGCCAAAUAAAGGGACGAGCAUCAACAAAACAGAAAGAGAGACUGUAACGCUGAGCUGCUCAUAUGAUUCAUACAGUGAAUAUGUACGUCUGUACUGGUACAGACAAUAUCACAAUGGAGAACCUCAAUAUUUAUUAUAUAUAUUCAAAAAGGUAAAAAUGCUUAAAAGGGUUUAGGGUUGCAACUGUGCGUGCUACAAAAAUCAGUAUCAGUAAUGAGCACAGGCCACUAAGAAAAACUGUUCCUUCAAAAUAAAGCUUCUCUUUUGUCUUGAAGUAGGCUAUCAAAAGAGGAGGGACCUAGAUCUGACAUGAUGCAGUUAUGUCUGACAGAGACUGCAGUAGAAAUGAUUCAGUCUGACUCUUCUCAGAGUGAACACUUGUACAAUGGAUCUUCGCUCAGUUAUUCUGUUCUGUGUCUCAACCGUUGCUGUCUUUGGGAAUGUCAUUAAACCAAACAAAACAGAUGUUUUUGCUGAGGAGGGUUCAAGUGUUACAUUGUCCUGUAGUUUUUCUGCAUCUGGAGGUAAUGAUUAUCUCCACUGGUACCGUCAGUAUGGAAGAUCAAAACCUGAAUUUCUUGUACUCACCUUCAGCAAUGCAAAAGAAGCUCAGCGGUCUGAUGUUGAUCCAAGAUUCACUGUUAAAGUUGAAAAAAGGGAAAAUGUGAUUCUGGAGAUGUCCUCUGCAUCUAUAUCAGACUCUGCUCUGUACUACUGUGCUCUGAGGCCCACAGUCACAGGAAACACAUCAACACCGUACAAAAACCUGUUACAAUGA